Molossus molossus (Pallas's mastiff bat) is the source of this 160-nucleotide small nuclear RNA. RefSeq annotates it as U1 spliceosomal RNA. The record is from RefSeq and is a predicted model, not a curated record. Lineage: Eukaryota; Metazoa; Chordata; Mammalia; Chiroptera; Molossidae. The transcript has a single exon.
AUACUACCUGGCAGGGAGAUACCAAAAUCACGAAGGUGGUGUUCUUAGGGCAAGGCUUGUCCAUUGCACUCCGGAUGUGCUGACCCUUGCAAUUUCUCCAAAUGCGGAAAACUUGAAUGAAUAAUUUGUGGUGGUGGGGACUGCAUUCGAGGUCUCCCCU